This is a long non-coding RNA of Xenia sp. Carnegie-2017, 119 nucleotides long. RefSeq lists it as uncharacterized. The transcript has 2 exons. NCBI's taxonomy places the organism in Eukaryota, Metazoa, Cnidaria, Anthozoa, Malacalcyonacea, Xeniidae. The record is from RefSeq and is a predicted model, not a curated record.
AGGAAGACACAUACUUAGGUACACAUGAAGGUAGACACAUACUUAGGUACACAAGAAGGAAGACACAUACCUAGGUACACAUGAAGGUAGACACAUACUUAGGUACACAUGAAGGUAGA